GGGACACGUGGUAUCCUGUCUGAAUAUGGGGGGACCAUCCUCCAAGGCUAAAUACUCCUGACUGACCGAUAGUGAACCAGUACCGUGAGGGAAAGGCGAAAAGAACCCCGGCGAGGGGAGUGAAAAAGAACCUGAAACCGUGUACGUACAAGCAGUGGGAGCACCUUCGUGGUGUGACUGCGUACCUUUUGUAUAAUGGGUCAGCGACUUAUAUUCUGUAGCAAGGUUAACCGUAUAGGGGAGCCGAAGGGAAACCGAGUCUUAACUGGGCGUUAAGUUGCAGGGUAUAGACCCGAAACCCGGUGAUCUAGCCAUGGGCAGGUUGAAGGUUGGGUAACACUAACUGGAGGACCGAACCGACUAAUGUUGAAAAAUUAGCGGAUGACUUGUGGCUGGGGGUGAAAGGCCAAUCAAACCGGGAGAUAGCUGGUUCUCCCCGAAAGCU
Molecule: ribosomal RNA, 445 nt
Filed under: Enterobacter asburiae
Lineage: Bacteria; Pseudomonadati; Pseudomonadota; Gammaproteobacteria; Enterobacterales; Enterobacteriaceae
Also listed under: 1 other name
Description: partial 23S ribosomal RNA
Rfam family: Bacterial large subunit ribosomal RNA
Source: RNAcentral